RNAcentral lists this ribosomal RNA (697 nucleotides) under Salmonella enterica subsp. enterica serovar Ouagadougou. Its description in RNAcentral is "partial 23S ribosomal RNA". The stretch from base 76 to 697 matches the Rfam family "Bacterial large subunit ribosomal RNA", at positions 566 to 1190 of the family's 2925-position model. Lineage: Bacteria; Pseudomonadati; Pseudomonadota; Gammaproteobacteria; Enterobacterales; Enterobacteriaceae. The record is from RNAcentral.
CAUUCUCUGGUGUUGAAGGCCCUGCAAAGCAGCAUCGCGGUGGCGGAGCGUCGUUUGCGACGCCCAACACACAAAACAAGCGGUGAGUGCUUUGGGGUGGGGUGACUGCGUACCUUUUGUAUAAUGGGUCAGCGACUUAUAUUCUGUAGCAAGGUUAACCGAAUAGGGGAGCCGUAGGGAAACCGAGUCUUAACCGGGCGUUAAGUUGCAGGGUAUAGACCCGAAACCCGGUGAUCUAGCCAUGGGCAGGUUGAAGGUUGGGUAACACUAACUGGAGGACCGAACCGACUAAUGUUGAAAAAUUAGCGGAUGACCUGUGGCUGGGGGUGAAAGGCCAAUCAAACCGGGAGAUAGCUGGUUCUCCCCGAAAGCUAUUUAGGUAGCGCCUCGUGAAUUCAUCUCCGGGGGUAGAGCACUGUUUCGGCUAGGGGGCCAUCCCGGCUUACCAACCCGAUGCAAACUGCGAAUACCGGAGAAUGUUAUCACGGGAGACACACGGCGGGUGCUAACGUCCGUCGUGAAGAGGGAAACAACCCAGACCGCCAGCUAAGGUCCCAAAGUCAUGGUUAAGUGGGAAACGAUGUGGGAAGGCCCAGACAGCCAGGAUGUUGGCUUAGAAGCAGCCAUCAUUUAAAGAAAGCGUAAUAGCUCACUGGUCGAGUCGGCCUGCGCGGAAGAUGUAACGGGGCUAAACCAU